Non-coding RNA from Podarcis lilfordi (Lilford's wall lizard), 190 nucleotides. NCBI's taxonomy places the organism in Eukaryota, Metazoa, Chordata, Lepidosauria, Squamata, Lacertidae. The record is from the annotation of a GenBank genome assembly.
UUUCUGUAUGUUUAGUCGGAAUCUCUUUUCUUGUAACUUGAAGCCAUUGCUUCAAGUCCUACCCUCCAGAGCAGGAGACAACAAGCUUGUUGCCUCUUCCAUGUGACAGCCCUUAAGAAAUUUGAAGAUGGCUAAUAUAUCUCCCUCUCAGUCUUCUCUUUUCCAGGCUAAACAUACCUAGCUCCUUCAA